Sapajus apella (tufted capuchin) is the source of this 154-nucleotide long non-coding RNA. RefSeq lists it as uncharacterized. The record is from RefSeq and is a predicted model, not a curated record. NCBI's taxonomy places the organism in Eukaryota, Metazoa, Chordata, Mammalia, Primates, Cebidae. The transcript is spliced from 3 exons.
CUUACAAAUAAUGUCUAAAUUUGGAAGCAACCUAAGCAUCCAUCAAAAGAUGAAUGGAUAAAUAAAAUCUGGUACUUAUACAAAAUGGAGGACUAUUCAUCCAUAAAAAAGACUGAAAUCCAGUCAUUUGCAACAACAUGAAUGGAACUGGAGG